Setaria italica (foxtail millet) is the source of this 1542-nucleotide long non-coding RNA. RefSeq lists it as uncharacterized. The record is from RefSeq and is a predicted model, not a curated record. NCBI's taxonomy places the organism in Eukaryota, Viridiplantae, Streptophyta, Magnoliopsida, Poales, Poaceae. The transcript is spliced from 4 exons.
UUCCCUCGGAUCCACUCCGUCCCCGUUCUUUUCCUCUCAAACUGCCGCCACCCCGUCGCCGCCUUCCCAUGCUCGACGCGGCGCCGUUCCCCGUCCUCCCAUCGCGUGCGCUAGCUUCUCUCAUCCGCCCGCCCUCGCCUCAUCUCCGGCCUCUGAUCCAAACGGACCCGCCUUCCAUCCGCCAACGGCUAGCUUGUACCGCCGCUCCACCAUCAACACAGGGGCCAAGGGAUGGCCUGCUGCCGCUCCCAUCGGCGCACGGGCUGAGAUGGGGCGCCGCCUCUCCUCCAUUGGGCAGGGACGCGGCUCGGCCAUACGGAGCAAGGCGGCGUGACCGGCCGGCGAGGGAGGACAUGGCGGCGCCUGUACAGGUUCUUCCACCUUUAUCUCCCUUAACUUCCUUCCAGCUCCACCGAGGACCACUCCGCCGUCUUCCCCGAGCAGAUGUACGCCGCGAAAACCUGCCACCACCGGCCGCGGGGCCACCGACCCGUCGUCAUACACUCAUACUCCGAUGAACAAUGCCCCCAUAAAUCAUGCCGGAUCGGCCUCCUCCAUCCCCUCCUUUCCUCCUUGCACGUGCAGCGGCACCCUUCCUUCCCUUGGUCCCUUUCUCGUACGAGAGCCACCUCCCCGAUCUCAUCUCAUACUCGCCAUCCUGGUCGCGUCGGGCCUGACGGCGGCGGCGGCGGGCACUAGGAGUCGGUGAGCGGGAUGGGCGCGGCUGUUCGCGCGUGGCAAGGAGCUCAAUGAGGCGGCAGCAGCCGGCGGCCGUGGCAGGGUCUCCGCUGCUGGUCUUCUUCCCAGACAUACUACGAAUUGCUCAUCUAUCCAUUCAAGAAACGCUAGUAGCAUGUGAUUGGUGAUUCACUGCCUAGGUAGAAGGUGGUAUUGCAAUGGUUGAUACUACCCUUUGAGCCUCCAAAGAUGCAGUUUGUCACCAAAGUAUGGCAUCCUAACAUCAGCAGCCAAAAUGCAGCAAUUUGCUUGGACAUUCUGAUAGAUCAGUGGAGCCCAGCCCUUACUUUAAAGACAGCGCUUCUUUCCCUUCAAGCUCUGCUUUCUUCUUCUGCACCUGAUGAUUCUCAGGAUGCUGUUGUUGCACAACAGGUUUCUACAACAGAAUAGGAGGAAAAAACAGCAGCUACAGGAUGGAAGCCAUAUGAGGCAUUCUCGGGGUUCCUGUUGUCUUGUGGUUGCCAUUGAUUUGUACUUAUGGUGACGAAGGAAUACGCAUUGUGGUGGGUUGCCUUCACUGAAUGUGAAUUACAAUGUCUUUUUAUGUGUAAGGUUGUGAAUGUCUUACAAAGUAGGAAGCCGAUCAAUAAUCAAGCAUUGUUCCUUUGCCCUGGUAUUAUGGUUUCAGCUGUCAUUUCACCUAAUGUUAUGAGGUGUUUGUGCUGGGUGUGGAUUUCUUGUGACUGAGUGAUAUCCUUCCAGUAAUUGUUAUUCAUCCGGUAUCUCCUACCGACAGAUUAUGGGACUCAUGAAUAUGAUGCAUUGUUAUCCGGUUAUCCCAAUGAAAGUUUGCUUAAAGAUAAA